UCUUCCAACACCUGAGUCUGGCGCUCCCGCAUUUCUUUUUUACUUCUUUCUCUCUCUCUCUCUCUCCGCGCAUCUGCACACUUCAGCAUCAUCCGACCGUUUUCGUCCUGAACGUCCCGAAUUAUAAAAACUGCACAUGUUAACCAUAGCAAAGUUUCAGCGUUUGGUGCCAAGUACAGUGCAAAUGCAAUACGGUGCAUCAUUCCGCCACAAAACCCUAAAUUCGAGAGACGGAGUUAAAUUGUGUCAAAAUAAAUCGCUUAACUUCGUAAUCGGGCUUACUGUCAAGCAUUGUCAAGUGCUGUCGUGUAGCAGUACCUACUCUGUAGAUUGUCUAACCAGUUUUGUUAUCGGGCUUCUCAAUCGACGUGUGCAGACUAUCUCAUCAUUCCGUCACAAAAUGGAGUUGGCAAAUUGAGAGGGAGUCCAGGAAAAAAUUAACAGAGAUGUUUUUGCUUUUAAGGAAUUAUCGCAUUUCUUUCAUAAUUAUAGAUAUAGAACAUAUAUAAAUAUCAUUUCGAU
This 522-nucleotide long non-coding RNA is filed under the name Androctonus crassicauda. The record is from RNAcentral. Lineage: Eukaryota; Metazoa; Arthropoda; Arachnida; Scorpiones; Buthidae.